RNAcentral lists this ribosomal RNA (566 nucleotides) under Diaporthe rudis. Its description in RNAcentral is "eukaryotic LSU rRNA". The stretch from base 190 to 343 matches the Rfam family "5.8S ribosomal RNA". Lineage: Eukaryota; Fungi; Ascomycota; Sordariomycetes; Diaporthales; Diaporthaceae. The record is from RNAcentral.
UUGUUGGAACGCGCUUCGGCGCACCUCCAGACAACCCUUUGUGAACUUAUACCUAUACUGUUGCCUCGGCGUCAGGCUGGCUCCCCUCGGGGGGUCCCUCACCAUCUCGGUGAGGAGCAGGCCCGCCGGCGGCCAAGUUAACUCUUGUUUUUACACUGAAACUCUGAGAAUAAAACAAAAAUGAAUCAAAACUUUCAACAACGGAUCUCUUGGUUCUGGCAUCGAUGAAGAACGCAGCGAAAUGCGAUAAGUAAUGUGAAUUGCAGAAUUCAGUGAAUCAUCGAAUCUUUGAACGCACAUUGCGCCCUCUGGUAUUCCGGAGGGCAUGCCUGUUCGAGCGUCAUUUCAACCCUCAAGCCUGGCUUGGUGAUGGGACACUGCCUUUGAGAAAAGGCAGGUCCUGAAAUUCAGUGGCGAGCUCGCCAGGACCCCGAGCGCAGUAGUUAAACCCUCGCUUUGGAAGGUCUUGGUGCGGCCCUGCCGUUAAACCCCCAACUUCUGAAAAUUUGACCUCGGAUCAGGUAGGAAUACCCGCUGAACUUAAGCAUAUCAAUAGGCCGGAGGAA